RNAcentral lists this ribosomal RNA (265 nucleotides) under uncultured archaeon. RNAcentral describes it as "partial 16S ribosomal RNA". It matches the Rfam family "Archaeal small subunit ribosomal RNA", at positions 718 to 982 of the family's 1478-position model. The record is from RNAcentral.
AGUCACUGACAUUAGAUACCCCCGUAGUCCAGGGUGUAAACGCUGCGGGCUUGGUGUUGGGGUCCUUAGUGGGCGCCCAGUGCCGGAGAGAAGUUGUUAAGCCUGCUGCUUGGGGAGUAUGUCCGCAAGGAUGAAACUUAAAGGAAUUGGCGGGGGGAGCACCGCAACGGGAGGAGCGUGCGGUUCAAUUGGAUUCAACGCCGAAAAACUCACCAGGAGCGACGGAUAUAUGAAGGUCAAGCUGAUGACUUUACCUGAUUUUCCG